This 379-nucleotide ribosomal RNA is filed under the name uncultured bacterium. RNAcentral describes it as "bacterial SSU rRNA". It matches the Rfam family "Bacterial small subunit ribosomal RNA", at positions 28 to 418 of the family's 1533-position model. The record is from RNAcentral.
AGCGAACGCUGGCGGCGUGCCUAAAACAUGCAAGUCGAACGGGCACCUUCGGGUGUCAGUGGCGAACGGCUGAGUAACACGUGGAUGACCUGCCUUCGAGCGGGGGAUAACUGCCCGAAAGGGUGGCUAAUACCGCAGACGUCGGUACUUCGGUGGACCGACUAAACCGAUUUUAGGGCUUGAAGAGGGGUCCGCGGCCGAUUAGCUAGCUGGUGGGGUGACGGCCUACCAGGGCGACGAUCGGAGCUGGUCUGAGAGGAUGAUCAGCCAGACUGGGACUGCGAGACGGCCCAGACUCCUACGGGAGGCAGCAGUUAGGAAUUUUGGGCAAUGGGGGAAACCCUGACCCACGCAACGCCGCGUGGGUGAUGACGGCCUU